Helianthus annuus (common sunflower) is the source of this 525-nucleotide long non-coding RNA. RefSeq lists it as uncharacterized. Lineage: Eukaryota; Viridiplantae; Streptophyta; Magnoliopsida; Asterales; Asteraceae. The record is from RefSeq and is a predicted model, not a curated record. The transcript is spliced from 3 exons.
UGGUAUGAAUGAACAUGCAUACUACCUGAUGGACAUAAUGGCUUGAAAGGAUAAGAACCCCAAUUGAUAUGGACUCAAGAAUGGAAGGCUAAUAGGUCAAAAGGAUACAAUGAAGCUAACAUGAAUACUAACGCUUAAGGUGUGAAUGGACAGAACUAAUACAUAAGCAUGUUUAUAUUCGGAAAAUGGUGUGCUCAACAAGGUAUAAUAACGUUGGGUCCAAGUGAGUUGUUGCCGGGAAGUAGUUGAUGAGUUUGGAAGAAUGAUCGAACAAGAUUUAUCGCGUCUUUAGAAUGUAAUAUGCUCCUCUAGCUAUAUGUUUAUAUUAUAAGUUUGAUGUCACCAUUACUAAUGUGUCGGUUCUUUAUGGUGACCGCUGGUUACACGGAUCAUUACCAUUUAUCACAAAGAACAAGCGGGCGAAGAUCGAGUUAUAGGACAUGGAUUGUACAAAAGGAUGGUCAUUUAGUUUGUAUUCGCAUGUUAUAUUUGGUACAUUAAUUAAAGAUGAAUGAUUUAGUUCUU